GGGCUGAGUUUGUGGCGCGCUUAGUGAUGGGAUGGCCCUGUGCAGGACGCCGACACGAAAAGAUGAAGAGUUCAAUCCGUGCUGUCUGAACUCACAGUGUAGCAGGCGAGAUAGACGGGAAGAUCGGUAGGGUGGGAGAUGCCGGAAAGGCUUCCCGUGAGACUGGAUAAGAAAUCAAAAAUCUGGUGAAAUUGCCGGCAAGAGGGAGUUAAGGACAUUCCAGGCAGAGGCAAGGAAUGGAGCUGCCAGAGAGUUCCAGCUGCCUCAGAUCCUCCCUGGUCUCUCAGUCCAGAUUCCUAAGAUGAGGACACAGCAUCCUGGGCCACUGUCACUAAUACAAAUUUGCCUCUGGAGGGACUCUACGGAAGAUAAUUCCCCUGAAAUUUGGAGAGUUGAAUUAAGCUAGGACUGAUUCUGGCUGGAAUUUGUGGUGGCUACGUACCCUAGAGGGCCUCAAGGAAACCCACGGUUCAAGACAGCCCUGACAGAUUCUGGAGUCUAGAACAGAAAUGGAUUUGAACAUGGGCAAGGCCAACCACCCAGUUCACGGCCUGUGUACAGCAAAGAUUACGUUACAGCCUGAGAGCUAAGCCUGGAAGCUCUUUCAUCCAUCCGUUUGUCCAUCUAUCCAUCCAUCUGCUCAUCCAUCCCUCCAUCUGCUCAACAAACGUUAGAGAAUCAAUCCUUGUGUCAGAUACUGGGGCUGCCCUCAAGGAGCUUUUAUAGAGUUCAGGGUACAGCCAGGUGGGGGAGACAGAUCACUAUAAAAACCUACCACUAUAAUCCAAAGGACAAGAGCAAAAAUAGUAAAGAGGAGAGAAGACCCAAAUUUGCCUGGUGGGUCAGAGAGGGCUUUCUAGAAGAGGUAAAAAAUCUUCGGGGCUAUCACUUCACCUUGCCUGGUGGAUAAAGGGAGGACUUUCCAGAUACAGUGGACAGAAUGUGCAGAGGCAGGAGCCAUGAGUGGCAGAGGCAGGGGAGGGACUGCAGAGACAGGUUGGAGCCAAAGCACGUGGCACUGGAGCCAUAGCCAAAGGAACAAACUGUGAGACCUGGGACUUGAAUUUGGAGGUGGUGAAAAGUGACAAGGUCUUCACAGAAGAGUGAUUUUUUCAACUUAGGGAAGGCUGACCCCAGACCAAUGCUGCCAAAGUGUGGUCUGUGGGCUGUUAGCAGUUCGUGACGAUGUAAGUACAGGAAUUGAGAUUAAGCAUUUAGAACACCUACAGCACUUUGAUAGUCAUUUUACUUUUUAAAUUUUGAGCUGGCAUUUUAUAUGCCUGGUUUUUUUUUGUUUUUGUUUUUUUAUUUUUUUUGAGACAGUCUCGCUCUGUCGCCCAGGCUGGAGUGCAGUGGCGCGAUCUCUGCUCACUGCAAGCUCCGCCUCCCGGGUUCACGCCAUUCUCCUGCCUCAUCCUCCCAAGUAGCUGGGACUGCAGGCGCCUGCCGCCUCGCCCAGCUAAUUUUUUGUAUUUUUAAUAGAGACGGGGUUUCACCAUGUUAGCCAGGAUGGUCUCAAUCUCCUGAUCUCGUGAUCUGCCCGCCUUGGCCUCCCAAAAUGCUGGGAUUACAGGUGUGAGCCACCACGCCCAGCCUUAUUCUCUUUUUCUAAUAGUUGCACUUUAUCAUAUUUUACAAAUGUGUGAGUCUGCUAUGGAUUAGAAAUUAAUAAGAGAUUUUGCCACAGAUAGUUUGAGAAGCCCAGCACUGCCACUCAACAAAUGCUGGUGCAUUCAGAUGGUGAAAUAUUCUGCAGCUAUUAAAGGAGUUAAAACUGCCUCCACUUACCUGGAGGCCCAUCUGUGACACCUUUUUAGGUUAAAAGGAAAAGAAAAACUUGCUUAGGACUGAAUAUGAGCGGUUGCAAUUUGUAACAAUGAUGUAUAUAUACAUAUACAUUUUCAUGUAUUUGUAUGAACAUAAAAGUAUUGAAGGAUAUUCAUCAAACUGCUAAAAGGGUUGCUUCAGAGUAACGGACUCGGAGAAGGCAGAUUAAUUUUCUCUUAAUGGAACUCUGUAUUGUAUCA
Long non-coding RNA from Homo sapiens (human), 2027 nucleotides. Ensembl annotates it as CKMT2 antisense RNA 1. Its record names the gene CKMT2-AS1. The record is from Ensembl. NCBI's taxonomy places the organism in Eukaryota, Metazoa, Chordata, Mammalia, Primates, Hominidae.